GACGAACGCUGGCGGCGUGCUUAACACAUGCAAGUCGAACGGAAAUGCCCUGCUUUUGUGGGGUGCUCGAGUGGCUAACGGGUGAGUAACACGUGAGUAACCUGCCCUUGACUUUGGUAUAACUUCAGGAAACUGGGGCUAAUACCGGAUAGGAGCUCCUGCUGCAUGGUGGGGGUUGGAAAGUUUCGGCGGUUGGGGAUGGACUCGCGGCUUAUCAGCUUGUUGGUGGGGUAGUGGCUUACCAAGGCUUUGACGGGUAGCCGGCCUGAGAGGGUGACCGGAAAAAUUGGGAAUGAGAUACGGCCAAGAAUACAACGGGAGGCAGCAGUGGGGAAUAUUGCACAAUGGGCGGAAGCCUGAUGCAGCAACGCCGCGUGCGGGAUGACGGCCUUCGGGUUGUAAACCGCUUUCGCAUGUGACGAAGCGUGAGUGACGGUAAUGGGUAAAGAAGCACCGGCUAACUACGUG
Molecule: ribosomal RNA, 468 nt
Filed under: uncultured bacterium
Lineage: Bacteria
Description: partial 16S ribosomal RNA
Rfam family: Bacterial small subunit ribosomal RNA
Source: RNAcentral